UACAGAGGGUGCAAACGUUGCUCGGAAUUAUUGGGCGUAAAGCGCAUGUAGGCGGCACGAUAAGUUCGCUGUGAAAGCCCUUGGCUCAACCAAGGAAGUGCAGCGAAAACUGUCGAGCUCGAGUUCUGAAGAGGGUCGCGGAAUGGCCAGUGUAGAGGUGAGAUUCGUAGAUAUUGGCUAGAACACCAGUGGCGAAGGCGGCGACCUGGGAAGAUACUGACGCUGAGGCGCGAAAGCUAGGGGAGCAAACGGG
RNAcentral lists this ribosomal RNA (253 nucleotides) under uncultured bacterium. RNAcentral's name for it is "partial 16S ribosomal RNA". It matches the Rfam family "Bacterial small subunit ribosomal RNA", at positions 524 to 776 of the family's 1533-position model. The record is from RNAcentral.